Long non-coding RNA from Daphnia pulicaria, 1165 nucleotides. RefSeq lists it as uncharacterized. Lineage: Eukaryota; Metazoa; Arthropoda; Branchiopoda; Diplostraca; Daphniidae. The transcript has 2 exons. The record is from RefSeq and is a predicted model, not a curated record.
UUUAUCAUCUCGACCGGUCAUAUACUCGUAUUUGUAUAUACGAGCUGGCCGUGAAUCUCUUGGCCUCUCAACAACUCUCUUUCUCUUUCUCUCUCUCGGAAUGGAAAAGAAGGUAGAAAAAGGAAAACAGGAGAGUUUGAUCAGAACGAAGGCGAUGUCCUUAAAAGGCAACAACGUUAUUCCCGCAGCAGCAGCAGCAGCAAACACACACAGAAAACCCAGGAGAGAAGAAGGAGAAGAAGGAGAGAUGGGAUAUGGUGGAUAGAGCAGGGCUCCCCUCUUUUCUGGAAUACUUUGCCCAUUUAAGGGAUGAGACCUGGGCCGGGGCUAAAGAGAUGGGCGAGUCUCUUUUUGAAAAUAAUAAUAAACGAGGAGAGGAUGAAACACACCACACCACCAACCAUCUUUGCAUAUGGUCUUAUUGGGUCCUUAAAAGACUUUGGUCAUCACCUCUGCACGGACCAGGCGAAACUUUCUCUUCUGUGAGCUGUUGCUCCCGACCAUCAUCAUCGUGUGUCAGACUUGAUAAAUAAAAAACGGGCACUGGGUUGUUGUUGUUGUUGUUGUUGUAGGCCAUCGCGCGUAAUUUGCCCGCCCGUGCAAUAGACAAGUCAAAAUGGGGGACCCGAAAGAAGAAAGAAAGAGCGUGUGUAAUGGGAGAGAACCUUGAAGUGACCAUGUUUAGCCAUGGCUCAGCCGCUUGUGGAUGAUACACACACAGAUGGUGGUGGUAGAUGUCACGUGAUUGGCCGUAUCUAUGUAUAUGUUAUAUCCAGCCGAGAGUAUUUCUUUUUUUUUUCCAUCCUAGUAGUAGUCAACAUGACCUAACCAUAAAUGUAUAGCGUCCAUCCAAUCAGGCAUUGAAAUCACUGAAAUUUCAACAACACCAUAUUCGUCUGUUUAGUUUCUUUUUUAAAAAUUAAUUUAAACCCCCCUCCCCCCCUAAAAAAUAAAAGUUGACAAAAAAAAACAGCUGGAGUUCAAUGUAUUUUUUAAAUUGGAAUUCGAGUCGGGUCAAUAAAUUUGCCAAAGAGAUUUAAAAAAAAAAUAAAAACAAGAAAGAAAAAACUGGUAUGGGUGAAGGAAAAAAGGAAAAAGAAUUGAAAUAAUAAUCCAACAGAAAUCACAAACGAGUUUAACGAUCUAGAAAGAGCCGUAAUUAAAA